CUAAAACUGUAUUUAUAUGUUAAGUAUGUUAAUUUCCAUUUUUCUGUAGAAUUUGGAGCUAAAACCCAGUUUGAUACCUUGUUCUCGUUAAUUUUACUUAGUCAAAUUGAUUGCUUUCUUAGUCUCCUAAUCUACUGUGAGAUGCAUGAAGGGUUGGCAAAAUCUGGAAUUCAUUUUGGGAUUUUGACCUGUAGUUAAUCCGUAGUGUGAUUCAGUUCACCAAUAAAGAUUUUCAGUGCUGAUAUAAGGGUGAAGGAAACUUGAUUAGAUUGAUUAAUUUUUCUGGUUAAUAUAUGUUGCAAGCCAUAACGAGCCACUUUGAGUUGAGCAUUGAUAGGUUGCAUCUUCUAGGCAAAGAAUUAGUCUUCUUGUGCCAUGCUGGGUUCUCACAAAAUGUUGUCUCUAAUCGUGUGUUUUUGUUUCCCUUUUUUGGGAGGUUAUAAACUUAUUAAGUAUUUUGGUAUCUUUUGCACAUUUCUAAAUAACACUAGUUGCAUCAAUGCUUGCAUUUUAGGCUUUUAAAAACAUAAAUCCUAAAAGGAAUAGGAAAAGAGAAAAAAAAAAAUCCUAAAGAAUGUAGAAAAGGGAUCCUAAACAGCCUAGGAAUAGGAUUUGACUAAGUUUUCUGGGUUGUAUAUUGUUCCUGUGUCAGUGAGCUGGGGCAGAAAGGUUAUCAUGUUAUUCUUAAUGGGUGUGGUGUAUGUGUGUUACCAUUUCUUGAGUUUUGGUGAUUGCUAUAUUGGUUAGUGCAUUUUCUGCUAAGCACUUGGCAUCUUUGCUUGGCUAAACCUUAGCCCAAUGUUUCAAACAUUCUAACUUGUUUAGUUUAUAUAUUUAUUCUUUUGUCUACUUUAUUCCAUAUAGGAUGGUGUCAUUCUCGGAGCGG
RNAcentral lists this unclassified non-coding RNA (886 nucleotides) under Hevea brasiliensis (rubber tree). The record is from RNAcentral. Lineage: Eukaryota; Viridiplantae; Streptophyta; Magnoliopsida; Malpighiales; Euphorbiaceae.